RNAcentral lists this small RNA (1085 nucleotides) under Pongo abelii (Sumatran orangutan). Its description in RNAcentral is "processed transcript". Lineage: Eukaryota; Metazoa; Chordata; Mammalia; Primates; Hominidae. The record is from RNAcentral.
UCCUGGGCCAGCGUGAUGGAUGCACGUGUCACAGGCGGGAGGAAAAAGGACAGUUGGGCUCAGAAAAAGGGGCUGCCACGCCCCGGCCCCUGCAAGGGCUCAGCCCCAGGAGGCAGGGCAGCAUUGUUAGUUGCCAAGGAGCUGAGUAGGGCUGUCCCUCGGGUCGCCGCGCGCCCUGGCACCCCGGCACCCCUGCGCGCCCUCCCGGAGCAGUAACGCGCUUUGCUCUCUGUGUUGCAGUUCAGCAGGAGCGCAGACCCCCCCGCGUACCAGCAGGGCCAGAACCAGCUCUAUAACGAGCUCAAUCUAGGACGAAGAGAGGAGUACGAUGUUUUGGACAAGAGACGUGGCCGGGACCCUGAGAUGGGGGGAAAGCCGAGAAGGAAGAACCCUCAGGAAGGCCUGUACAAUGCACUGCAGAAAGAUAAGAUGGCGGAGGCCUACAGUGAGAUUGGGAUGAAAGGCGAGCGCCGGAGGGGCAAGGGGCACGAUGGCCUUUACCAGGGUCUCAGUACAGCCACCAAGGACACCUAUGAUGCCCUUCACAUGCAGGCCCUGCCCCCUCGCUAACAGCCAGGGGAUUUCACCACUCAAAGGCUAGACCUGCAGACGCCCAGAUUAUGAGACACAGGAUGAAGCAUUUACAACCCGGUUCACUCAUCUUCUCAGCCACUGAAGUAUUCCCCUUUAUGUACAGGAUGCUUUGGUCAUAUUUAGCUCCAAACCAUCACACACAGACUGUUGUCCCUGCACUCUUUAAGGGAGUGUACCCCCAGGGCUUACAGCCCUGGCCUUGGGCCCUCUGGUUUGCUGGUGGUGCAGGUAGACCUGUUUCCUGGCGGUUCCUCGUUCUCCCUGGGAGGCCGGCACACUGCCUCUUACAGCUGAGUUGUUGAGUCUGUUUUGUAAAGUUCCCAGAGAAAGCGCAAAUGCUAGCACAUGCCCUAAUGUCUGUAUCAUUCUGUCAGUGUCUGAGUGGCUUCACUCCUGCUGUAAAUUUGGCUUCUGUUGUCACCUUCACCUCCUUUCAAGGUAACUGUACUGGGCCAUGUUGUGCCUCCCUGACGAGAGGGCCGGGCAGAGGG